GAGUUUGAUCAUGGCUCAGAGCGAACGCUGGCGGCAGGCCUAACACAUGCAAGUCGAACGGAUCCUUCGGGAUUAGUGGCGGACGGGUGAGUAACACGUGGGAACGUGCCCUUUGGUUCGGAACAACUCAGGGAAACUUGAGCUAAUACCGGAUGUGCCCUUCGGGGAAGAUUUAUCGCCAUUGGAGCGGCCCGCGUCUGAUUAGCUAGUUGGUGAGGUAAAGGCUCACCAAGGCUACGAUCAGUAGCUGGUCUGAGAGGAUGAUCAGCCACAUUGGGACUGAGACACGGCCCAAACUCCUACGGGAGGCAGCAGUGGGGAAUCUUGCGCAAUGGGCGAAAGCCUGACGCAGCCAUGCCGCGUGAAUGAUGAAGGUCUUAGGAUUGUAAAAUUCUUUCACCGGGGACGAUAAUGACGGUACCCGGAGAAGAAGCCCCGGCUAACUUCGUGCCAGCCGCCGCGGUAAC
Molecule: ribosomal RNA, 467 nt
Filed under: uncultured Alphaproteobacteria bacterium
Lineage: Bacteria; Pseudomonadati; Pseudomonadota; Alphaproteobacteria
Also listed under: 1 other name
Description: bacterial SSU rRNA
Rfam family: Bacterial small subunit ribosomal RNA
Source: RNAcentral